CCUACGGGAGGCAGCAGUGGGGAAUAUUGGACAAUGGGGGGAACCCUGAUCCAGCGACGCCGCGUGAGUGAAGAAGUAUUUCGGGAUGUAAAGCUCUAUCAGCAGGGAAGAAAGAAAUGACGGUACCUGACUAAGAAGCUCCGGCUAACUACGGGCCAGCAGCCGCGGUAAUACGUAGGGGGCAAGCGUGAUCCGGAUUUACUGGGUGUAAAGGGUGCGUAGACGGCGAUGCAAGUCUGAAGUGAAAGGCGGGGGCCCAACCCCCGGACUGCUUUGGAAACUGUAUGGCUGGAGUGCAGGAGAGGUAAGUGGAAUUCCUAGUGUAGCGGUGAAAUGCGUAGAUAUUAGGAGGAACACCAGUGGCGAAGGCGGCUUACUGGACUGUAACUGACGUUGAGGCUCGAAAGCGUGGGGAGCAAACAGGAUUAGAUACCCUUGUAGUC
This 443-nucleotide ribosomal RNA is filed under the name uncultured bacterium. RNAcentral's name for it is "partial 16S ribosomal RNA". It matches the Rfam family "Bacterial small subunit ribosomal RNA", at positions 338 to 795 of the family's 1533-position model. The record is from RNAcentral.